RNAcentral lists this transfer RNA (74 nucleotides) under Lactobacillus phage 521B. It matches the Rfam family "tRNA". Rfam says of the family: Transfer RNA (tRNA) molecules are approximately 80 nucleotides in length. Lineage: Duplodnaviria; Heunggongvirae; Uroviricota; Caudoviricetes; Herelleviridae. The record is from Rfam by way of RNAcentral.
CAGGAUAUAGCUCAAUUUGGUAAAGCGCGGAGUUUGGGGCUCCGAGAGUAUAGGUUCAAAUCCUAUUAUCCUGA